RNAcentral lists this ribosomal RNA (327 nucleotides) under uncultured eukaryote. RNAcentral's name for it is "partial 18S ribosomal RNA". It matches the Rfam family "Eukaryotic small subunit ribosomal RNA", at positions 1470 to 1796 of the family's 1831-position model. The record is from RNAcentral.
CCCUUAGAUGUCCUGGGCUGCACGCGCGCUACACUGACACAUGCAACGAGUUUUUCCUUACCUGAAAGGGUUGGGUAAUCUCCUUGAAAGUGUGUCGUGAUGGGGAUAGAUUAUUGCAAUUAUUAAUCUUCAACGAGGAAUUCCUAGUAAGUGCAAGUCAUCAGCUUGCGCUGAUUACGUCCCUGCCCUUUGUACACACCGCCCGUCGCUACUACUGAUUGGAUGUUUAAGCGAGGUUCUCGAACUGCUAGCGACUUAGCUUCGGUGAGGUCGCAGUGUGGGAAGUGAACCUAGCUUUGGUGUCUAGAGGAAGUAAAAGUCGUAACA